AAUUUUAUAAGCUGGAUCACAAAAUACUAUUUUCCCAAGAAAACUAUGGGUCUCCUCCCGGAGGAGGAUGUUAACUUUGUCUGGCUUCCUUGAGCCUCUUCUUUCAACUCGCGUUCCUGUGUGCUUGAGGCCGGGUGAUUGCCGGACGGCAUUGGGGAUCGGGGACUGAUCGUAAGAUAGACAGGCACAACAUCCACAAGCGGAUCGUGGACAACCAUGUUCUUUUAAUGAAAGCCUAAGCAAGAAUCCCUAGUUGCUCACAGGAAGGACCGCAUUGAUCCUGCCCUAAACGUCUUCUUCACAUCGGACGACCUCAAAGUUGGGAAGCAGGUGCCCAUAUACUUCCCCAGCAAGUUAGAAGGCCCUUCCAAGUCUCCGAGGCUCUUGACCAGAGAGCAAUCCGACUCCAUCCCUUUCUCAUCUGCUCAGCUCUCACGGCUCCCGUCCUCCUUCUCCAAUCCCCGGGGGCUCUCCUCAGGCGAAGGCCAUGGAACACACGCUCCAGCAGUGUGAGCUCGAGCUCGAGCCCAUCGAGGGAGAGACGAGGUUCUGUGCCACCUCCCUAGAGUCCAUGCUCCACUCGGCCCGCGAGGCCUUCGUGCCAAAAGCCCAGUUCAGAGCCUUGACCACCCUUACCUACCCAACAAGAAGGAGAAGGCCAGCGACGACCCGCUGCAAAACUGCACAACCUUGCAAGUGCCCGAGCAGAUUGAUGCGACUAGGGUCAUAGGUUGCCACACUAUGCCAUACCCGUACGCAGUGUUCUAACGCCACAGCCAAGCAGACAGUGAGACCAGAGCGUAUCAGAUUUCUCUCGGUGGUGGUGGUGGAGAGGAAGAGAGAGUUCGGUGGAGGCCGCAGCUCUUUGUCACCUGGACACGUCGUUUUGGGACGGAGACCACAUGUCGUUCCGAGUCCUCGGCAUGGAGCCCGAGUCCUCCCCGGUUUGCCACUUCUACCCCGCGGAUAAUCUCGUGUGGGUGGCCUCUUAGUACGGUCGUAUAAGUCACCCAGUAAAAUUAUCAGGACCUAUAUAUGUUUUCAACGAGCAAUAAUAUCACGUAAGGUAUCGUAUCUUGU
Long non-coding RNA from Rhodamnia argentea, 1080 nucleotides. RefSeq lists it as uncharacterized. NCBI's taxonomy places the organism in Eukaryota, Viridiplantae, Streptophyta, Magnoliopsida, Myrtales, Myrtaceae. The record is from RefSeq and is a predicted model, not a curated record. The transcript has 2 exons.